UAUGAGUUCAAAGUGCGACUUAAGAAUCUAAAUCGGACUCUCAUUUACGAAUCUAGCCCCGAGAUUCUAAAUUUACGACUACAAUCAACGAUACCCUCGUUUUAAAUCUAUUUUGUCGCUAUGGCCUUAAUAGACCAAGGAUCAUUUUGUCGCUUUGGCCUUAAUGAUCCUAUCCCAUCUUGUCGCUAUGGCCUUGAUGAGGAUCGAGAGUCGCUCUGUCGCUAUGGCCGGAGUUUGGCUAAAACACCAG
Molecule: long non-coding RNA, 250 nt
Filed under: Zostera marina
Lineage: Eukaryota; Viridiplantae; Streptophyta; Magnoliopsida; Alismatales; Zosteraceae
Description: long non-coding RNA (ZMAR_LNC001715)
Source: RNAcentral